GGCUCACUUCCUAUGUGGAGGCCCAGUCCACAGUGAAAUUAGGUUAGGUCCCUUUUGCUUUUCAUUCUUUCAAUGGAUGAGUGAGUGCAGUCAAGGUGCAAGAGAGAGAGCAGAGAGAUCCAUCCAGAAACUCUUGGAGAGAGCCAACAGUGUGCCAUCCAUAGAGAGUGAUAUAGAGAGUGAAAUAGAGAGUGAUAGUGAAGCAGAGAAAAGGAG
RNAcentral lists this long non-coding RNA (216 nucleotides) under Phaseolus vulgaris (common bean). Its description in RNAcentral is "long non-coding RNA (PVUL_LNC002530)". Lineage: Eukaryota; Viridiplantae; Streptophyta; Magnoliopsida; Fabales; Fabaceae. The record is from RNAcentral.